AUGUUUUUAUUUCCAUCCCAACAUUUUUUUUCCUUCCCAACAUUUUUUAUUUCCUUCCCAACAUUUUUUGUUUCUUGCCCAACAUUUUUAUUUCCUUCCCAACGUUUUUGUUUAAUUCCUGGUUUUUCCUUCCCAAUGUUUUUGUUUCAUUCCCAAAGUUUUUGUUUCCUUCCCAACAUUUUUUGUUUCCUUCCCAACAUUUUUGUUCCCUUCCCAACAUUUUUAUUCCCUUCCCAACAUUUUUUGUUUCUUUCCCAACAUUUUUAUUUCCUUCCCAGCGUUUUUGUUUCCUUCCCAUCGUUUUUGUUUAAUUCCUGGUUUUUCCUCCCCAACAUUUUUAUUCCCUUCCCAACAUUUUUAUUUCCUUCCCAACAUUUUUGUUCCCUUCCCAACAUUUUUAUUCCCUUCCCGAUGUUUCCCUCCCAACAUUUUUAUCCCCUUCCUAUAUUUUUUCUUUCCUUCCUGCUGUUUUCAUUUCCCUGCCAGGAAUUCCCUUCCCACCCCCACCCGCUGUGCUCACCCAAACUCUUGGCCAGGGUGGGAUUUAAAUUUGGGGAUUAUUCUGGAAUUAUUCAGGAAUUAUUCUGGAAUUAUUCAGGAAUUAUUUGGGAAUUAUUCGGGAAUUAUUUGGGAAUUAUUCUGGAAUUAUUCCGGAAUUGUUCAGGAAUUAUUUCAGAAUUAUUCCGGAAUUAUUUGGGAAUUAUUCAGGAAUUAUUCGGGAAUUAUUCUGGAAUUAUUCGGGAAUUAUUUGGGAAUUAUUCAGGAAUUAUUUCAGAAUUAUUCUGGAAUUAUUCCGGAAUUAUUCAGGUAUUAUUCAGGAAUUAUUCUGGAAUUCUGGAAUUAUUUGGGAAUUAUUCAGGAAUUAUUCGGGAAUUAUUCAGAAUUAUUCUGGAAUUUUUUUGGGAAUUAUUCGGGAAUCAUUUGGGAAUUUUUUGGGAAUUUGGGGAUUUCUGCCCAGCCCGGGGGGGCCUCGCUCUCCCCUCUCCUCUCCUCAUGCUCCCCCAAAAUCCCCCUGAAAAUCCCAAAUCUGCAGCCCCGGGGCCCCCCCGGCCCUUCAGGGAUUCUCCUCAUUUUCAUUUUUGGGGUUUAUUUUUCAUUUCUUUUGCUUUUAUUUUUCAUUUUUGCCUUUUAUUUUUCAUUUCUUUGGGUUUAUUUUUCUUUUUCCUCCUUCUGGUGCCUCGCCAGCCCCUAAAAUUCCCUUUUUUUGGUGUUUUUUCCCCUCCUGUUUGCGUGGCCGUUUCCGUGUUGGUCGCUUGGUUGUUGAUCGUUUUUUUGGGUUUUUUUUUUAAUGAAAAAUGGAAUUAUUUACAGAGAAAUGAGCAUUUACCUUAA
This 1332-nucleotide long non-coding RNA is filed under the name Chloebia gouldiae (Gouldian finch). RNAcentral describes it as "Erythrura gouldiae (Gouldian finch) lncRNA (ENSEGOG00005018642.1)". Lineage: Eukaryota; Metazoa; Chordata; Aves; Passeriformes; Passeridae. The record is from RNAcentral.